GACGAACGCUGGCGGCGUGCUUAACACAUGCAAGUCGAACGGUGAUGCUCCAGCUUGCUGGAGUGGAUCAGUGGCGAACGGGUGAGUAACACGUGAGCAACCUGCCCCAGACUCUGGAAUAAGCGCUGGAAACGGCGUCUAAUACUGGAUACGAAACUGGCCCGCAUGGGCAUGGUUUGGAAAGUUUUUCGGUUUGGGAUGGGCUCGCGGCCUAUCAGCUUGUUGGUGAGGUAAUGGCUCACCAAGGCGACGACGGGUAGCCGGCCUGAGAGGGCGACCGGCCACAGGGGGCGGAAGACAGGCCCAGGCCCCUGGGGGGGGCAGGGGGGGGGAAUUUUGCCAAAUGGGGGGAAGGCUGGAUGAGGCGCCCCGGGGGGGGGAAGGCCGCCUUUGGGGUUGAAACCCUUUUCCGGAGGGAAAGAAGGAAAGGGGCGGGACCCGGCAGAAGAACCCCGGCUAACUUCGGG
This 467-nucleotide ribosomal RNA is filed under the name uncultured bacterium. RNAcentral describes it as "partial 16S ribosomal RNA". It matches the Rfam family "Bacterial small subunit ribosomal RNA", at positions 28 to 507 of the family's 1533-position model. The record is from RNAcentral.